GCAGUGGGGAAUAUUGCACAAUGGGGGAAACCCUGAUGCAGCGACGCCGCGUGAGUGAAGAAGUAUUUCGGUAUGUAAAGCUCUAUCAGCAGGGAAGAAAGACUCGUAAGAGAGAUGACGGUACCUGACUAAGAAGCCCCGGCUAACUACGUGCCAGCAGCCGCGGUAAUACGUAGGGGGCAAGCGUUAUCCGGAUUUACUGGGUGUAAAGGGAGCGCAGACGGUUAUGCAAGUCUGAAGUGAAACCCCACGGCUCAACUGUGGGCUUGCUUUGGAAACUGUUUAACUAGAGUACUGGAGAGGUAAGCGGAAUUCCUAGUGUAGCGGUGAAAUGCGUAGAUAUUAGGAGGAACACCGGUGGCGAAGGCGGCUUACUGGACAGCAACUGACGUUGAGGCUCGAAGGCGUGGGGAGCAAACAGGAUUAGAUACCCUUGU
RNAcentral lists this ribosomal RNA (437 nucleotides) under Stenotrophomonas sp. SAM-B. RNAcentral's name for it is "bacterial SSU rRNA". It matches the Rfam family "Bacterial small subunit ribosomal RNA", at positions 351 to 791 of the family's 1533-position model. Lineage: Bacteria; Pseudomonadati; Pseudomonadota; Gammaproteobacteria; Lysobacterales; Lysobacteraceae. The record is from RNAcentral.